Molecule: ribosomal RNA, 849 nt
Filed under: Gloeoporellus merulinus
Lineage: Eukaryota; Fungi; Basidiomycota; Agaricomycetes; Polyporales; Incrustoporiaceae
Description: partial large subunit ribosomal RNA
Rfam family: Eukaryotic large subunit ribosomal RNA
Source: RNAcentral
AGUAACUGCGAGUGAAGCGGGAAAAGCUCAAAUUUAAAAUCUGGCAGCCUUCGGUUGUCCGAGUUGUAGUCUGGAGAAGUGCUUUCCGCGCUGGACCGUGUACAAGUCUCUUGGAACAGAGCGUCAUAGAGGGUGAGAAUCCCGUCUUUGACACGGACUACCAGUGCUUUGUGAUGCGCUCUCAAAGAGUCGAGUUGUUUGGGAAUGCAGCUCAAAAUGGGUGGUAAAUUCCAUCUAAAGCUAAAUAUUGGCGAGAGACCGAUAGCGAACAAGUACCGUGAGGGAAAGAUGAAAAGCACUUUGGAAAGAGAGUUAAACAGUACGUGAAAUUGCUGAAAGGGAAACACUUGAAGUCAGUCGCGUCUUCUAGAACUCAGCCUUGCUUUUUGCUCGGUGCACUUUCUAGUUUGACGGGCCAGCAUCGAUUUUGACUGUUGGAUAAAGGGUAGAGGAAUGUGGCAUCUUCGGAUGUGUUAUAGCCUCUGCUCACAUACAAUGGUUGGGAUCGAGGAACUCAGCACGCCUUUAUGGUCGGGGUUCGCCCACGUUCGUGCUUAGGAUGCUGGCGUAAUGGCUUUAAAUGACCCGUCUUGAAACACGGACCAAGGAGUCUAACAUGCCUGCGAGUAUUUGGGUGGUAAACCCGAGUGCGCAAUGAAAGUGAAAGUUGAGACCUCUGUCGUGGAGGGCAUCGACGCCCGGAUCAGACCUUCUGUGACGAUUCCGCGGUAGAGCAUGUAUGUUGGGACCCGAAAGAUGGUGAACUAUGCCUGAAUAGGGUGAAGCCAGAGGAAACUCUGGUGGAGGCUCGUAGCGAUUCUGACGUGCAAAUCGAUCGUCAAAUUUGGG